GCCCGCGCGCGCCCGCCCCGGGAGGAGGGUGCGCGGCGGAGGCGCGGGGGGGGGGGGGAGUCGAGGAGGGGCCGCGCCCGGUCCUCGCCCGCAGCGGGCACCGCCGGGGGCCCCGGGAGGCCUUGUUGGUAUUCCGGGCACAGCAGAAGCCCUGACCUCCCCGCGGAACAGGGGCGCCCGGGAGCGCGGCGCGGCCGCCGCCCCCGGGCGGUCUCCCCGGACUGCGGGGCCGUAGGCGCCUUGCUCCCCCUCCUCCCUGUCCCCUCCUCUCCAGGUCCCCCGUACCCCCUCCCCCGGCCUGAUCCGGCGGCGAAGGGGUGGGCAGGGAAACGCGCUCUCUGGGACAGGUGCCAACUCCGAGACAAAAGACAUAAAAUAGGCGGCAACGGGGGAAGCGCGGCCGGCGCGCUCGGGCGGGGACGGAGGCGCCGCGGGGGCCGCAUCCUCGGUGCCGACCGGGGAAAGUUUGGGAAGUCGCCGCGGCGGCUUCGCAGCGGCGGGGGACACGCGGGCCGGGCCGCCCUCCGCGCCGCGCUCGCCCUCUCCGCGCCGCUGCUGAAUAAUUCAUGGCGCGGCCGCCGGCCAUUAGCAUGCACCGGGCGCGCGGCGCGUCUGUGCCCAGCCGUCGCCGCCGCAUUCGGCGCCCCGGCCGCGCUAGACGAGCGGCCGCGCAGAGGCCGGGCCCGCGCCGUCCCCGCGCUCGCCCGCCCGUCCGCCCGUCCGCCCACCCGGCGGCUCCCAUUGUGCCCCAGGCCCGCGCCGCUCCGCCGUCCUGUGACCGCCUGCGCCCCGCAGCGCGCCCGACGGCCGGCCGCUGGAAGUUCGGGCCCGCGGCGCACGCCCUGCCGCCCCGGGAUGCACGUGAACUUGGAGAAAGUCUCGGGGCGCGCCGGCGCAGACCUCCGCGGCAGGGCGUGGGCGCCCCUGGCCCCGCGCGCUUUCGUUUUCGUCUGGGACAAAGGUCCCUCGCGGCGCAGGUCGCGGACGUGGAGGCAGUGCCCUGCGGGCCACUCAGCGGGGAGGUCCGGUCGUUCAGUCAAGGGAAGCCGGAGCCUGGAGAAGACGAGCCGCGCGGUCGGAGGCGCGGUGCGGGACCAGGACAGUGGGGCCUGGCCGUGCGCUUCGCCCUGGCGGUCCAGGAGCUGUCUCGCCCUCCGAAGAGUUACGGGAGGUGGCACUGCUUUUGCUCUCUGCCCUUUCGACACGUGAAGGAGAGAAUCAUUCGGAACCCAGGACUCAGACCGGUGGCCGAGGGCCUGUGCAGCCGCGAGCACGACAGCGCAGCGCUGGCCGCGUCCGCGCGCGUUCCUCCGACAAGGGCAGAGCAGUCGACCAGCGCGCCCCAGUCUCGAUCGGGUUCAAGGCGACUCUUGAGGACGAAGGCGGCUGGUCCCAGAGCACCUCGGAGAAAGCGGACGCCUGUCUUGGCCUUUGGAAGACGCUCAAGGACCACGUGGCCGGUCCACGGUCUCUGCCCUGCGCCUCGAGGGCGAGGCAGCCCAGGUCUUGCCCUUCUUGCCGUCCACUUCGCCCCCAGCCGACGCCUGGAGCUUGAGGUGACUGAGCGCUCUCAGGCCAGCUCGGCCCUGGACCUGCUCGGCUCUGGACCUGCCCAUCUCCGUCAACGCACGAGGCCCCCGUGCCCCAGGUCAAGAAGUGGCGCCAAGGGGGGAGCUUCUGUCCGAGGCCAGCCUUCCUUCCGGCUGGACUUGGCCUGCACGAGCCACGGUCUGUGUCGCAGGGUGUCUGGAUGGAAGAGCAGCACUGGGCCCCGUCUCCCUCUCCGCCCUGAGGACCCGCCGUUCCUGGCUCCCAGGCAGGUGCGCCUGCCCCCUCCCAACCCCAGGCUCACCCUGCCCCCUUCUCUCCACCCGGCCGGGCGCCAGCCCUCGACCUGCUGCCAGCUGUCAACAUGCGACGCACACAGGGAGCAGCCGCGGCUGUGUUUGUCAGGACCGGACACCAGAGCUCCCUCUGCAGUCGUGGGUGAAGCCGAGCCCAGGAGAGCCCCUCGCCCCCGCCCUGACGGGGCCCCCUCCGAGCCUUGGUUUCCUCGUGUGAGGUGGGUUCACGGAUCCUGGCUUCACCAGGCCUUCAAGGACCAGGGAGCCAGCACACCUGGUGCCUGCCUGGAGGAGGCAGCCUGCUCGGAAGGAGUGUGGGAGGAGGCGUGGGUGUCAGAAAGCGUGGUGUGA
This 2195-nucleotide long non-coding RNA is filed under the name Sus scrofa (pig). RNAcentral describes it as "lncRNA (ENSSSCG00070028792.1)". Lineage: Eukaryota; Metazoa; Chordata; Mammalia; Artiodactyla; Suidae. The record is from RNAcentral.